CCUACGGGUGGCAGCAGUGAGGAAUAUUGGUCAAUGGCCGUGAGCCUGAACCAGCCAAGUCGCGUGAGGGAUGACGGUUCUAUGGGUCGUAAACCUCUUUUGUCGGGGAGUAAAGUGUGGCACGUGUCCUUUUUUGUGUGUACCUUAUGAAUAAGGAUCGGCUAACUCCGUGCCAGCAGCCGCGGUAAUACGGAGGAUCCGAGCGUUAUCCGGAUUUAUUGGGUUUAAAGGGUGCGUAGGCGGCCUUUGAAGUCAGCGGUGAAAGUCUGUGGCUCAACCCUAGAAUUGCCGUUGAAACUGGGAGGCUUGAGUACGCGUGAGGUAGGCGGAAUGCGUGGUGUAGCGGUGAAAUGCGUAGAUAUCAGGCGGAACACCGGUGGCGAAGGCGGCCUGCUGGACUGCAACUGACGUUGAGGCCCGAAAGCGUGGGGAGCAAACAGGAUUAGAUACCCGGGUAGUC
RNAcentral lists this ribosomal RNA (460 nucleotides) under uncultured bacterium. RNAcentral describes it as "partial 16S ribosomal RNA". It matches the Rfam family "Bacterial small subunit ribosomal RNA", at positions 338 to 795 of the family's 1533-position model. The record is from RNAcentral.